RNAcentral lists this unclassified non-coding RNA (1256 nucleotides) under Venturia canescens. Its description in RNAcentral is "transmembrane protein 179, transcript variant X1". The record is from RNAcentral. Lineage: Eukaryota; Metazoa; Arthropoda; Insecta; Hymenoptera; Ichneumonidae.
UUGCGCUGUCGUCAACUGCGCACUUCCGACAUGCAAUCAUAUAAAAGGAAGUGGUGCACAGCUGAAAGAUUCUCGAGUGAUCUCUGAUCUGUCACUUUCAAGUGCAAUACGCAAAACGUGUACUUCUUGAAAGAAAUAAAUUUCUUUUUUAGUCAUCUUCGGUGUCAGUUGAACAAAUGCGUUGGCAGGACGCAAAAAGCCUGCCUUCAAAUUUUCUACCGCCGUGGAAAAAAUAAUGUUUUUUUUUAACUUGGAGCAAUAACCGUGGAGAUAAUUAUCGGUUUUUGUGAUCGGACGAAGCGCAUUCCCUGUGUCGCCAGCAAGACGAAAUAGUAUUUCGUAAACACAUAAUCUUUCUCAAGGAACUCAAGGAAUUUCCUACGGUUAACCAUGGCGUUCACGAAUGUCUUGCUGCUCAGUCAGAUUGCAGGAUACGUUGUAGCUCUGAUUCUGUCUCUAUGCAUUGUUGUUCCUAUGAGUCUUCACCAGGAUGAAUUCCGAGGUCAUUGUCUGCUCUUCUCGACAGGCAUUUGGCAAGAGACCGAUGGUCAAUUCGUCGUAAAUUGGUCAUCACGUAUUUACUGCAAUUAUACAAUAUUCGUGGGUCUUGUAUUAUUUUUGACUGCUGUGGUACAGAUUUAUCGCCUCUCAAUGUUGAUGUACAGAGGAGAAGACAGUUCAUUCCUUUCUGCUUUCAUGGAUGUUGUCAGUUCAAUAUUUUUGACAGGGAUGACCCUCGUUGCGGCAGUUUUGAUAACUCUGGGUUUCAUGACCUGGUGUCAAUGCAUGACCAAAAGAUUUCCAUCCUGCGAAUUAGCAGCGGGCAAUGAUAUCGACAAAACUGAUAACAUUGACACUUCCGGAUUUCAUAUUGAACUCGGGGCUGCACAAUUCGGUGCAUGGAGUAGCCUCUCCAUAUGGGUUGGCCUUUCAGUUUUUGCUGUUCUCAAAGUUCUCAGAUAUCAUCAACUCGAAAACAUGAAAGUAUCCAUGUACACAGAGCGACAAAGAUUAAUAGAAGCCACUAAUGCCAAUCAGCAGGCAGAAACGAGUUAGAGUCAGGAUCACAAUUUAUAUGCUCUAUUCCAUUGAUUCAGCCGACAUCAAAGUUUGCGUCAUUGGGAUUGUUGGCACAUAUUGGUACAGCAUCGUCCAAAGGCUUGUAAACGUAAUUCUCGGCGGGACACGGUCCUUGUCUGAAAGCUUCGUGGCAGGUUUCGUUCAGUGGAAAAUAUAAAAAUCCGGGCCUGCAAUCG